Molecule: long non-coding RNA, 444 nt
Organism: Scophthalmus maximus (turbot)
Lineage: Eukaryota; Metazoa; Chordata; Actinopteri; Pleuronectiformes; Scophthalmidae
Exons: 2
Source: RefSeq, a predicted model, not a curated record
AGCCAAGGGGCUCCGGGUCCCCGACAGGGCAGCGGCCGCGCAGAGCAGCACCAGCAGCGGGCAGCCGGGGAGAGAGAGCCGGGUGUCCAUUCUUCACCAGCGGGGAUCAGAAACCGUUCACCGGUGGAGAGGGGGAUAAGUGCAACGAGCAAGAUGCAGCCGGACACAAGUUUCCAUGGAGCGUGUCCGGUGAAUUCGUCCUUCCUUCCUGGGAUGUGAGUGGGGCACUCCCGGUCCUCAGCAUCAUCUCUCAGGCAACCUCCGUCAAGCACACGGGACUUGGCAGCGCCACACCGGAAAUGUGUCUCUUUUCAAAAUAAAAGAAACAUUUUUUUCCUAUUAUAAAGCAAGUCAAAGUCAGUGUUGAGCCUUUUAAAUGGGCAUUAGCACAAUAUGUAAAUAUACAACAAUGAAUUAUAUAAUAAAAAAAGGCCAAAAACUCAA